UUGACCUUGGAUCAGGUAGGAAUACCCGCUGAACUUAA
Molecule: ribosomal RNA, 38 nt
Filed under: Nemania diffusa
Lineage: Eukaryota; Fungi; Ascomycota; Sordariomycetes; Xylariales; Xylariaceae
Description: partial 28S ribosomal RNA
Source: RNAcentral